RNAcentral lists this long non-coding RNA (203 nucleotides) under Mytilus galloprovincialis (Mediterranean mussel). The record is from RNAcentral. Lineage: Eukaryota; Metazoa; Mollusca; Bivalvia; Mytilida; Mytilidae.
CAGUUUUUAAAAUAUGACAAAAAACGCGCAGUUUUAUUUGUAUCCCGAUAAUAGUGAACACAUCUCUUUUAUAUCGCAUUAAAUAAGGUAUAAUUGUUACAUAUGGUGAGGGAGAUAUUUUCUACUACUGUGAUGUUGUCAUUUGGAACCAAUGCGUUAUGAAAAUAUCAAAACUAUUAAGUGAAUUCUUACAUAUGUUAAAC